GAGGAAGGAACGCGCCUGGCGUCACUGAGGGUGUCACCCGGGACCGCGGCUCAGCUGAUGGAAUUUGAGAAAUGGCAGGUGUGAGGACUCUGACCUUCCCAUGAAGCAGGUCAUAAGACCCUCAUGUGAGAGAUGCCCUCUCUAUACCUGGAGAAAAGAAGCAGUCUUAUUUGUGAAGACAGAGAGACGCCAAGAGGAAUCUAAAUGAAUAGGCCUUGGAACCCCAGACGCACGGGCCUUGUGCUGUCGCUGCCGUGGCACCCCUUCUAGAAGGACUCUAUUCUCUAUAACAGAAGUGGGAGCCUUGGACAACUGAACGCCUAUCUCUAGCUCAAGAAAUGUCAGCUCUUUUUUUUUUUUUGAGACUGUCACCCAGUCGGGAGUACAGUGGCGCCAUCUUGGCUCUCUGUAACCUCCACCUCCUGGGUUCAAGCGAUUCUCCUGCCUCAGCCUCCUGAGUAGCUGGGGCUACAGGUAUGCACCAUCACUCCUGGCUAAUUGUUGUAUUUUUAGUAGAUAAUGGGGUUUCACCAUGUUGGCCAGGGUGGUCUCAAACUCCUGACCUCAGGUGAUCUGCCUGCCUCGGCCUCCCAAAGUGCUGGGAUUACAGACGUGAGCCACCAUGCCCAGCCAAGAAAUGUCAAUUCUUUAUCGUAGCCUGGCUUUCCAUAUUUCUCACUAGGGUUUUUAUUCUCUAGUUUGUAAAUCACAUUUGGCGUUUGUAGAUCACUCCUUCCCUUUUAGUGGCAUUCUCUAUUAGGUGUCCAUCUCCCAAUAUGAAGAAACAGUUUUCUGCUUUUUCCUCCUUUAUCUGAUCCAUUUACAGAUUUAUUACAUUUAUAAUAGGCUAGGUAUUGGGGAUACAAAAAUGAAUAAGAUAUGGUCUGUUUUCAAAGGUAUGCAGAAACUUUUCUAUAUAUUCCUACUGACUUGUAUUUGUAUUUCUUGAAUUAAAAACAAUCCUGGCUGUGUUUUUUUUUUUUUUUUUUUGCUCUUAGUGAAUCUUUGUUUCUUCUUUUCAUUAUGGCAUUCCAGUUGAGUUUCACCACGCAUUAUCAUGAGAAUAAAUAAUUUCACUGACUUUAAUAAUAUUUGAUCACUUAUGUUGAUGUCAUUUAACUCUCAUUUACAUUUCAGUGGUCUAAAACACAACUAAGAUACUAAAAGAAAAAUAAAAGAUGAGAUUAUUGGCAAAUAAUUACCACAUAGUCAACUCAUGAACAAUAGUGCAUGCACUUACAGGAAAUUCUCUGAUUGUCACAUAAACUAUUUGGCUGUUGUUUCAGACAUGCUGUAAUUUCUGUAGUUAGACACUUAACUAGUCCACAGCAGAUUAGAAACUAUGAAUCACAAGGCAAGGGAAGGAAAUGCUGUUAAUAUAGGUAGUUUGAGAGGAGCAAUCUCUAUUAGUUGGCAGAAUAAGCACAGGAAAAACAAGACAAUUAGAAAAAUGAAUUAAAAAUGCACGGUAUUCUGACACAAUUAGUUACAUUGAACAACCCUAUGUAUUCCACUGGAAAUAUGAUAAACAUAGUCCACAAGUCUCUGCCAUCUGAGAAAUUUAUAACCUAGUAUUCUGAAGGAAAUAAAGUGAAGGGAACUGUCACAUACCGAACACCUGCUUUAUAACUUGAAAGCGCUUUAUGACAUCACCAUAUAUCAGGACCAAAACAGAUAUUCAUAGAUUUGGUCCUCAAUUGCAAAGAAAAAUUAAAUUAUGUUCUGUACUCUGUUUCAGAAGACCAGAGGAAUACAGAACCCAUUUUGGAACUUUAGAAACUCUUACAUAUGAACAGGUUAGGUUCCAAAAUUUCCAUUGUUCGUAAGUCCCAAUACUCACAAGUUCGGAGUAAGCCACAUAUGCAUUUCCAGAAAACAGAAAAGUGAGGCAGUCCUUUGAAACUUUAGAACAAAGCUUACUCUUCUUUUUACUGAUAUAAGUUGUAUAGUGGUGCAACCCAGACUAAGGCGCAUAUGAAUCUCUUGAUGAUCACGUUAAAAUGAAGAUGCUUAUUGGGUAGGGUUAGAAUGACCUGAGAAUCUGCAUUUCUAGCAAGCUCCCAGGUGAUGCUGAUGCUGAUGCUGCUGAUCCAUGGACCACACUUUGAGUAGCAAGGUUCCAAAGGGCAUUUUUUGUUGGAUUUACAUUUGAAGUCCCUUAAGGAAGGAAAUGCCCCUCCUUAAUGAGCCUAAAGGAACUUCUUAGCAGCUGGCGUAUAUUCACACCUGCUACCACUCAUGUUGAUGUUGUACAGAUUAAAAUGUGCCUAGCGCUCUUGCUUUCCAUAACUUUACUUUCUUAGGCCUUUAAGAUACUUGAACCAUCUCCUAAUGGGUUAAUGGGUGCCCAGAGUUGACACUGAUCCUCUCAUCACAUGGUCAACAGUGUGUACAUUUUGUCAAUUACUUUUCUUCUUACUGAUUAUUGUUAUAUAAAAAUGGUGAAUUAGUCUGCUUUGGCCACCAUAACAAAAUACCUUAAACGAGGUGGCUUAAACAACAGAAAUGUGUUUUCCCACAAUUCUGGAAGCUGGAAGUCUGAGAUGAGAGUGCCAGCAUGAUCAGGUUCUGGUAAAGGUUCUCCUCCUGGCUUGUAGAUGGCCACCUUCUCACUGGUCCAUACAUGGCAGGCAGAGAUGGGGAGAGAGAAAGUUGUCUGGUGUCUCGGUAUAAGGGCACCAGUUCUAUUGGACAAGGCUCUGCCUUUACGACUGCAUUUAACCUUAAUCACCUCCUUAAAGGCCCUCUCUUCAAUAUAGUUACAUGUGGGGUUAGGGCUUCAACAUAUGGAUUUUGGAGGUACAGAAUUCAGUCCAUAGCAAAUGGCAUUUUCAUAUGGCAUGAGUCACUCUUUGCUUUUCAGAAUUGUUCCCAAUUUCAACUGGGUCAUACCACUUUAUUGUAUAUUUAUUACUAUGAAUUUUCAUUUUUCAAUCUCUGCUUUUUUAAUCUUCACAUCACUCUUACUACCACCUUCAAAAUUCUCACUGCUUUCUCACUGACAUCAAUGUUGGGAUUAAUAUUUAUAAAGCACAUUUUAAAACAUAAACUCAUAAUAGGCCCCAAAUUAAUAAAAAGAUGACCUACAUCAGGGCACCACUACACCAGGGCACACUGAAUGAGUGCAAUUCAUUAAAAGAUGUAUUAAGAUAUUAAUCCUCUUCAGACAUUGGGACAACUAGGGGGUACUCAAGUGAUCCUCAGGCUAGUCUCCUUUGGCUGCAAGCAUCCUUGUCUUUUACCCAACAAAAAUAUCCUUAUUUUCUAGCUAUGUUAUAACAUGAAGAGGCUGGGAAGCACUGCCCUAGACUAAAAUUACUAAAUUACUGUGCACAAUCUUCAGUGCCAUCUGCUGGAAGGAGACAAAGUUACUAUACUAUGGUUCUAGAAGGUAGAUUUAUGUAUUCGUUCAUUCAUUUGAGACAGGGUCUCACUCUGUUGCCCAGGCUAGAAUGCAGUGGUGCAAUUACAGCUCACUGCAGCCUUGACCUCCUAGGCUCAAGUGACCCUCCUGCAUUAGCCUCCCAAGCAGCUGGGAUUACAGGAGUGCACCACCACACCGGGCUAAUUUUUUAAAAUUUUUAGUAGAGGUGAAGUCUUGCUGUGUUGCCCAGGUUGGUCUCUCAAGUAAUCCUCCAGCCUUGGCCUCCCAAAGUGCUGGGAUUACAGGUGUGAGCCACCAUGCCCAGCCUAGAUUUAUUUUUAUGUAUAAAACUAAGUUAAAAGAUCAUACGAAGGGGUAUUUCUGUGUUACAAAGGAUUGGUUUUAAAACUUUUUUUACUAGUUGAAAGGAUAAACUUCAAUUACCUGAAAAAUGUAAAACACAACUGUUUCUUUAAAAGAGAAAAAGCUAGACAAAAAAUGUUGUUGGGGCAGACACAGUGGCUCACACCUGUAAUCCCAACAGUUUUGGAGGCCAAGGUGGGAGGAUCACUUAAGCCCAGGAAUUUGAGACCAACCUGGGCAACAGAGUGAGACCUUGUCUGUACAAAAAGUUAAAAAAUUAGCCAGGUGUGGUGGCGUGUGCCUGUGGUCCUAGCUACUCAGGAGGCUGAGGCAGGAGGACCACUUGGGCCUAGGAGGUCAAGCCUGCAGUGAGCCAUAAUUGUGCCACUUACACACUCCAGCCUGGGCAGCAGAGUGAGACUCUGUCUCAAAAAUAAAUAAAUAAAUAAAUAAAAUUGUUGAACAUACUAAUUCAGUUAGAAAGGACACACUUUUAAAAAAGAAUAUUGAUAAGUCAGAGCACCACUAUGAUGGCAGGGUGUUUACAAAGCUUGUGGUACACCAUAUACAAAAAUCAACUCAAAAUGGACUAAAGACUUAAAAACCUGAAACUAUAAAACUAAUAGGAGAAAACAUAGGGAGAGAUCGUGCCACUGCACUCUAGCACAGCGACAGAGUGAGAGUCUGUCUCAAAAAAAUGAAAAAAUUAAAAGAUUUUUCCGUAUAACAACUUUCUUCUUCACUAACGAAAAGUAGAAAUCUAGUAUAGUCCUGUAGACAGUUUCUAUGUAAUAGAUUAAAACAAGUUAAAACAGGAAUUUCUCCCAUAAGAUUCUCUCCUUCUAAAUACAACAGAGUAGAAGGGGCAGGUGUGGUGGCUCAUGCCUAUAAUCCCAGGACUUUGGGAGGCCAAAGCAGGAGGAUCGUUUGAGACGGGAGUUUGAGAUCAGCCUGGGUGCAUAGAGAUACCCUAUCUCUACAAAAUAAUUAGAAAUUAGCCCGGCAUGGUGACACAGCCUUGUAGUCCUAGCUGCUCAGGAAGCUGAGGUGGGAGGAUUGCUUGAGCCCAGGUGGUUGAGGCUGCAAUGAGUCAGAUAUAUAUAUCUGGCUUUAUAUAUACACCUUUGUUUUAUAUGUAUAUUAUAUACUUUAUUAUAUAUACAUAAAACAAAGUAGAGAAUGUUAGUCCCCGGAAUUUCUCUGUAAGAAAAUGUCUCAUGCAAAAAUCAUUCAGGAGGAGAAAAAUAUACUUUGUAGGGGAUGCUACAUGCUUCUUGCCAAGAAGAGAGAGAGAAAUGGGAGGCCAUUAGCUGUCUUCUAUGUAUGGUUGGUGGGCAGGGGUACAAGAGAAGCUUCUCACUUUUACACCAUGUGGGAAGAAGGUAGUGAACAGGGUAGAAAGAAAACUGUGAGAUAACAACAUGGAAGGAUUGGGAGAUUGAAAGAGGAGGAGAAUUUUAGCAGCCGUCAUAAGUAGGGAACUUUGGAGGGAGGAGAGAUAUAGAGAAGUAUUGUUGGAAGCUUUACUUUCUAUUUUUCUGGGAGAGACCCCUGUGUUACACCUUUACGGAAACUCAUAAUAAAAAUCUCGAUCGUUUAUCAACAUUAGUCUCAUUAUUUUUGAACGAGAAUCCCCACAGAAAUGAUAUCACAUGACACUUGAGUUGUAAAUUGUACAAACUGCAUUCAGAAGCCAUCACCAAGGCCUAGCUGUUCUUUUUCCUGAAUCUAGACCAUUUAUGUCAUAUGAGUAUCUACUUUCCAAAACUGAAAGCUCCUCACUUGGUCUUCCACAGAACUCCAGUGGAGCUCUAAAUUGUAUAGCUGAAAAUGGGGCAUAUAAUUCAUACACUUUCACCAUAAUUCAGGGCAGGGAGGGAAUGUCACUGGUUAUGGUAUCUGUUAGUUUUCCCUGUUAACUGACAUUUGGAAAAUAUGUGCUCUGAGACACUCACACUUUGGGUUUAGAUAACGUUUCUUCUCUCGGUGUCUGUGUUUCAUGUUGUUGUUGUAAUUGGCCAAUAGCGCUGUAGUUGCUGCCAAUAUAUAAGUUUGUUGCAGAUACAAAAUAUGGACAUUUUGAUAGUUAAUGUGCACACACACAUAAUACACAAUAGGCAUAGUCAUAAUUUUGUUACAUGAUCAUUUGGCACAAAUGAUGAAACUGUGCACAAGUUACUAUAAUUAAUGCCCUAUACUUUCUUUUUCUUUCUUCUUUUUUUUUUUUUGAAACAGAGCUUUGCUUUUGUAGCCCAGGCUGGAGUGCAAUGGCUCAAUCUCAGCUCACUGCAACCUCCGUCUCCUAGGUUCAAGUGAUUCUCCUGCCUCAGCCUCCGAAGUAGCUGGGAUUACAAGCAUGCACCAUGCCCCGCUAAUUUUGUAUUUUUAGUAGUGUAGGGUCCAGCCCUACAGGGCCUGUGGGUUUUUCCUUAGUGUGCAGAGAUGAGAGAUUGUAGAAAAAUAGACAUGAGACAAAGAAAUAGAAGGAAACACAGCUGGGCCCAGGGGACCACUACCACCAAUGCGCGAAGCCUGGUAGUGACCCUGAAUGCCUGGACACACUGCUAUUUAUUGUAUGCAAGGCAAGGGGGCAGGGUAAGGAGUUUGAGUCAUCUCAAAUGAUUAAUAAGGUCAAGCAAGUCACGUGUCCACGUGACGGGGGGCCUUUCCCUUUGUGAUAGCUGAAGCAGAGAGGGAGGACAGUAUAUGUCAGCAUUUCUUCUGUGCACUUAUCAGGAAGAUCAAAGACUUUAGUACUUUCACUAAUUUUGUUACUGCUAUCUUUUAAGAACUUAAAAGGAGGUGCCAGGUGUACAGGCAGAACAUGAAAGUGGACAAGGAGCAUGACCACUGAAGCACAGCACCACAGAUGUUUAAGCCUCCAGAUGACUGCGGGCAGGCCUGGCUAAUGUCAGGACUCCCACAAGAGUUGGUGGAGCAGUGUUCUCUAACUCCCCCCGGGGAAAGGGAGACUCGCUUUCCCGGUCUGCUAAGUAACGGGUGCCUUCCCAGGCACUGGCGCUACCGCUAGACCAAGGUCUGCCGAGUAACGGGUGCCUUCCCAGGCACUGGCCCUACCGCUAGACCAAGGUCUGCCAAGUAAUGGGUGCUUUCCCAGGCACUGACCUUACCGCUAGACCAAGGAACCCUCAAGCGGCCCUUAUCCGGGCGUGACAGAGGGCUCACACUCUUGUCCUUUGGUUACUUCUCACCAUGUCCCUUCAGCUCCUGACUCUGUAUGGCCUGGUGUUUUCUAGGUUAUGAUUAUAAAACAGAGAUUAUUAUAAUACUAAAAGAGCAACACUACCAACUAAAGAUUGAUAAUAUUCAUAUAUAAUCAUGUCUAUAUCUUAUUUUUAGUAUAACUUUUUGUAUUCUAAUUAUUUUCUUUUAUUAUACUGGAACAGCUUGUGCCUUCAGUCUCUUGCCUCAGCACCUGGGUGGCUUUCCGCCCACAAGUAGAGAUGGGGUUUCUGCAUGUUGGUCAGGCUGGUCUCGAACUCCCGACCUCAGGUGAUCCACCUGCCUCGGCCUCCCAAAGUGCUGAGAUUAUAGGCAUGAGCCACCGUGCCCAGCCUGCUUACUUUCAAAAUAAGGUAAAAGUCUGAGGAAAAAAUAAUAGUUCCCAUUUCUGGAGCAUUUAGGCUGUGCCAGGCAUUGUUCUAUGUAUGUUCAUGUAUUAUUUCCUCAAAAAAGUACACACUUUAAUUCUGCAGAUGAGAAAUCUGAAACUCAAAGAGAUUGAGAAUCUUCUCCACACACAUGAUUAUCCCAAUAAUCUGGUGAGUUGAAUGAGAAAUAGAAGUCAAAGAGGAAGAAGGCAGGGUUGCCUGAAAGAUUCCAGAAUCUGGAUAUAAAGGUGCAUUCUCCAGCAGCUGCUGAUGGCCACUAACAGGAUUUUCUCUUAUAUAUCUUAGUUGGGCAUGAAGGGUAUGAGAGAUUUCAAGCAUACUGAGGAAUGACACUUUCAAUUGCUUCCCCAGCCAAGUAGCUUCAAUGGACAGAUUACCCAGAAUUUAAAACAAGAAAAAAUAUAAUCUAAUUAGAUCACUUAUAUUACUUUGUCAUUGCCAUAUCUUUCUAACAAUUUAAAAAAAAAUGGACUUUUAAAAAAAGCCCCGUAUCUGAGGCUCUAAAAUCCAACAGUCCUCUUCGUUUUAAUGCUUAAUUUUGUUUUUGUUUUUGUUUUGAGAUGGAGUCUCGCUCUGUCACCAGGCUGGAGUGCAAUGGCGCAAUCUCAGCUCACUGCAACCUCCGCCUCCCCGGUUCAAGCAAUUCUCCUGCCUCAGCCUCCCGAAAUGAUUAGUUUUACAAACAGACCAGAAGCGGGGCGCAGUGGCUCACGCCUGUAAUCCCAGCACUUUAGGAGGCCGAGGUGGGCGGAUCACAAGGUCAGGAGUCUGAGACCAACCUGGCCAAUAUGAUGAAACCCCGUCUCUACUAAAAAUACAAAAAUUAGCCCGUAGUGGUGGCCUGCGCCUGUAGUCCCAGGGCUUGGGAGGCUGAGGCAGGAGAAUCGCUUGAACCCGGGAAGCGGAAGUUGCAGUGAGCCAGGAUCGCGCUGCUGCACUCCAGCCUGGGCGACAGAGCGAAACUCCGUCUUAAACAAACGAACAAACAAAAAACAAAAACAAACAAACAAAAACCCAAAACAAAAAAACCAGACCAGAAAGCCCCAACCCGCUUUUCCAUCUGGACGCUCUUCCUACGUAGUCUACAAUGUCGGUGGGCUUCCACCGCCAUCUGGUGGACGAUGUGUAGAUGUGCUCUGACUUGAGGAGACUUCGCUGGCGUGGAGAGGAAUGUGAUUAAUGAGAAGAGUUUUCCAUUCAUGCAAUUGAUUUGAAAGCAAUGCAUAGGAAUCUAAAAACUGAAUAGAUAAAAGUGCUUACUUCUAGGCAAUCAAAAAGGGGAACAAUUUGUAUGUGUUGACUUAUUGACUAGGAUGAGAUGGAACCAAAUAAAUUAACAUUUUCUUUAAUGCUGCUAGAAUCCUUCAACUUCGCACUACAUAGCAUGCAACACUUUUUGAACAGUCCCAGCACCAUGAAUCUGCUUAAGUAAAGCUGUUUAUGCAGUCGUCUCAUCUGAGAGUACAGGAAACUCUGUAUCUACAUCCAUUUCUGUUUAUCUUUAUAGUCCCCUUGUCCCACACCUAAAAUUUCAACAUUAAGAAUCUACUUUCUCACUGGGGCCUGUCAGGGGGAGUGGGGGAAGGGAGAGCACCAGGAAAAAUAGUUAAUGCAUGCUGGACUUAGUACCUAGAUGAUGGGUUGAUAGAUGCAGCAAACCACCAUGGCACAUGUUUACCUAUGUAAAAAACCUGCACAUCCCAUACAUGUACCCUGGAACUUAAAAUCAUAAAAUAAAAUAAAAAGAAUCUACUUUCUGAGCUGGGCGCGGUGGCUCACAUCUGUAAUCCCACCACUUUAGGAGGCUAAGCUGGGAGGAUCACUUGAUCUUAGUUGUCCAAGACCAGCCUGGGCAACAGAAUAAGAUCCUGUCUUUAUUACAAAAAGAAUCUACUCUGUUCUGAUAACACUGUACUAUUUCUUUUUAUUUUAAAAUUCAGGUAAAGUUUUGUCUGCAUUUUAACCUUAAAGUGUUAGGGUGGGGACGUGGUGGGGGAAAGUGUGUGGCAGAGAAUAAGCAUUGGUACUGCGGCUACCAUAUUGUUCUAGCAUUUCACCAUUGGCACAUGACUGCCUUGCACAUGGUGAUUAGAUUGGACCAUGGGACCAGUUCUGGUCAGUGAGUUAUGCUUUAAUAUUUUAAAAAUCCAUAGAUUCUAGGCAAAUAGUUAUCAUAUGACAAUAAGGCAGAGUAGAUCUCAUAAUAUUCAGUGAUUUGGGGGGUUAAUUUCCUUUGUCACUUCUUAGUUUGUAAAACAAAUGAGACAUUAAGUAUAUACCAUGCUUAAUGUCAUCUUCUCCUAUCAUAAAUAUAGGACAAAUGGUAUGAAUUGUGAUACAAUAUAAUGAAAUUAAUUUUUUUCAUACUUCUCAGCACAUAGCCACAUAAAUAAAUGCUGCCUUUCAAAGCAAUCAGCUUGGGUAAUGAUACGUUUAUUUUAGCAAUGUGCAUGAUAUGGUUUGGCUCAAUGGUUUGGCUCAAUGUUCCCACGCAAAUCUCAUUUGAAUUGUAAUCCCCAGUGUUGGGGAGGGACCUGGUGGGAGGUGGUUGGAUCAUGGGGGCACAUUUCUACCUUGCUGUUCUCAUAAUAGUGAGUGAGUUCUCAUGAGAUCUGGUUGUUUGAAAAUGUGUAGCACUUCCCCCUUCACUCUCUGUCUCUCCUGCUCUGCCAUGUGAAGAUGUGCCUCCUUCCCCUUCACCUUGCAUCAUAAUUGUAAGUUUCCUGAGUCCACCUCAGAAGCAGACACCAGUACAGCCCACAGAACCAUGAGCCAAUUAAACUUCUUUUCUUUAUAAAUACCGAGUCUCAGGUUAGUCUUUAUAGCAGUGUGAGAAUGGACUAGUACAGUGCUAGUACUCGAAAUAAACUGAAAAUCGUAAGCUUCAAUAUUUUCUUAGUUCUGCUGCUCAUGCCUGUAAUCCCAGCACUUUGAGAAACCAAGGCUGAUGGAUCACCUGAGGUCAGGAGUUCGAAACCAGUCUGGCCAACAUGGCAAAACCCGGUCGCUACUCAAAAUAACAAAAAUUAGCUGGGUGUGGUGGUGGACACCUGUAAUCCCAGCUACGCGAGAGGCUGAGGCAGGGAGAACUGCUUGAACCCAGGAGGCAGAGGUUGCAGUGAGCCAAGAUUGCACCACUGCACUCCAGCCUGGGCAACAGACUGACACUCCAUCUCAAAAAAAAAAAAAAUUGUUUUUUUCUUAGUCUCAGUACCUUUAAAUUUGGCUGGGCUCAACCAAUAGAUAAGCUACUACUAAGCAAGCUAUAUAAGGAGCCUCAGCCCCAUCAGUUGUUGUAUCUAAUAUGUAAACGAAUGAGACCUAAGCCCUUCGUGUCGGCCAAAACACAUCAAACCUGACCCUGCUCUACCUACAUUGGAUUGCUUACUAACAAAUUUAGGGUCAGCCCUAUAGUUGUAUAGGUUUACUGGAAGACUUAGUUUCUUCCUUUUAAUCUCGACCCAGGUGGCUUGGUGUAGAGAAUAACUUAUUAGGAUACUGUAACCAGACACAGAUUUGGCUGCUCAUAGCUGAAAAGCCAGACAUGAGAGGCGAGGGUUGGUGGAAGGAAAAGCAGGUUUAACUGGAGAGCCAGCAAACCUGGAAGAUAGUGAACUAGCUGUCUCAAGUGCCAUCUUAAAUUUUAAAAUUUAUCAUAGAGUUUUUAAAGGGAAAUUUGGUAUAGGAGACAUGGGGGAGUGGUGCAGGAUGUGGGGUCUGUGUGUCUUUGUUCAGAUGGCUAGCUUGCGUAAUUCUCUCUGGAGGUCUGCUUGGUGUCAUCUUUACUGCAGCCCAGUGGUGGUGGACUAACUGUGACCCCUGCUGAGUGGGAGGAUGCUGCAGCUGGGACUCCGCACCUGGUUUGUUUCAAGAUUAGCCUCUGGAAUUUCUUAAGUAGGAACAUAAUUAGAUAAGCUUGCAUUGCUGGAGGGGAGUGUCUAGAGAGGGAAGGAAUGAAGGGGUAAGAGAGGAGGGAAGGGAGAAAAAGAGAAUGGGUGAUUAAAAAAUAUGUUUAAAACUGAGAUCCUGGGUUACAAUGCUUCUGUCUAGUUCCAUUGAGUUUUCCUUCCUCCCUACCCCCAUCUACUCCCUGGUUCUCAUAGUUACAGCCAUUCUUUCACUACAUGACCCUGCUUGGACACUUGUUGCUUGGACUAGGAGUAGGCACUUGACAAAAACAAAAUUUUGAUUUUUGAAAAGGUAAAUAAAAGUUCCUUCACUCUCAAUUUGAGAGUGAAAUAAAAUAAUCCAGUCUCAGUUUGCAAUCUCUCUUAAAUGGAGGAGAUGUAAAUUCUUGAGCUGCAGGGGUCCAUCUUCAACCAGACAGAAUGCUUACCAACAGCAUUUCCCUCCUCUACCUUGUAAUCCCAUUCAUUGAUAUCAGUGAAGAAAAGGAGGAAAAGGAUGAAAGACUGAAUGAAGUAUCACUGCGAGUGGAGGACUUGCAGAAAGGAGUGACAAAGAGUACUGCUGCCAGUGAUGAAGGGCCUGAUUCCAGCCCAUUCCAGAGUCUCGGCUGUACUCCUACUCCUUAUAGUAAGAAAUGCUCCCUCCUUUCUAUUGAAACUGCAUGUUGAGUAUCCCCAGUAUAAAAGUUUGAAAUCCAAAAUGCUACGCUGAGCAUUUCCUUAGAGUGUCAUGUUGGUGCUCAAAAAAUUUUGGAUUUUGGAGGAUUUGGGAUUUUCAAAUUAUGAAUACUCAAUCUGUAACUUGAUAGAGUUUCUGUUUCCCGCAGCCAAAUGAGUAUAAACCAAUACUCCAAGAUUCUUGCAUGCCUUCUGAUAAAAUUAUUUUAAAAAUAUCUUCAGAGCCAGUUUAUAGGCCAACCACAAAAUCAGUUUUACAACAUUAUAAUUACCUUUUAUGAGUUUGGUGACAUUUAAUACAGCAUAUAAUCAGUAAAUACUUACUUUGUGCAAUGCACAAUGCUUGUCAAUCAAAGGAAUCCAAAGAUUAGUAGAAGCUAACAGUUUUUGUGGGAGAGAAAACAAUUUACAAAAGUAGUGAUAGCUAAUAAGUUCCAUGACAAAAGUACAAGUAAAAAGAGUAGAGGACAGAGAAAAGAGUGAUUUAUUCAGAUUUUUAAAAAUUAUCAAAUGUUGAAAUACUAACAACAUGCUGAGGAGUAUAUUGUGAUCCAGUGAUAGAAUGCAGAAUGGAACAUAAUCUCUUACUUCAAGGAGCUUAAAUUUUAUCACAAGGGUAAACACAAGGGUGUUUGGCAGCCAAAGGAGCACUAACCAUGUGUUGGGGCUGGGGGCAGGUUUGAGAAGGCAUCCAGAAGAGACAAUAUCUAGGCAGAUAUGGAAAGAUAAAAGGUUAAAUAGAAUUAAAUGAAGGUGGGCUAGAAGAAAGAAAUAUCAAAUACAAAAGACUCUUGGGAGGCUGAGGCAGGAGAAUGGCGUGAACCCGGGAGGCGGAGCUUGCAGUGAGCCGAGAUCCCGCCACUGCACUCCAGCCUGGGCGACAGAGCGAGACUCCGUCACAAAAAAAAAAAAAAAAAAAAAAAAAAAGACUGAUGAAUUCUUUUUUCUGAGACUGAAUCUCGCUCUGUUGCCCAGGCUGGAGUGCAGUGGAACGAUCUUGGCUCACUGCAACCUCUGCUUCCUGGGUUCAAGCAAUUCCUCUGCCUCAGCCUCCCCGCUAGCUGGGACUACAGGCGCCCACCACCACACCUGGCUAAUUUUUGUAUUUUUAGUAGAGACGGGGUUUCACCAUAUUGGCCAGGCUGGUCUCAAACUCCUGACCUUGUGAUCUGCCCACCUUGGCCUCCCAAAGUGCUGGGAUUACAGGUGUGAGCCACCGCGCCUGGCCAAGAAUUCUUUUAGCAGCAUUAAAUGCCCAACUCUCAGAUUCCAUUACUCCCCACUUUCCUGUUUUUGCUCUUAUCUGUUGGGCUCCUUUUUAGUCUUCUUUGUCCUGGGUUCCCUCCUCUUUCCCCUCCCCUCUCCUCUCCUGCUUGGAGUGUUUUUAACUAAGCAGUACAAAUCUUGAGACCAGAGCUGUGGUCAGUGAGUCCUGUUAACCUUCUGAGAUCUGUGCCCUAUGGGUAGGCUGCUGGGAUCCCAUCCUCCAGAAAUUUCCAUGUCACCAGCAGGCUGAAUGUUUUUGUGGCAGUCAUACCUCUCCUGAGAGGCCUGACUCUCAGCCUUAGUGGGGAAAUGCCCCUUCUAAAUUUUUUAUUUUUUAUUUACUUAUUUUUUUAACUUAUUUUUUGAGACAGGGUCUCGCUCUGUUACCCAGUCUGGAGUGCAGUGGCACGAUCAUGGCUCACUGCAGCCUCGACCUCCUGGGUUCAAGCAGUCUUCCCAUCUGGCCUCCCAAAGUGCUGAGAAUACAAGAGUGAGCCACUGUGCCUGGACUGCCCCCUCUAAAUUUUAACAUUUUCUUCUUCGUGCACUCUGCAUUGGCUUUAGAGGUAGUGGCCACCAUCUGCAGUUGCUAUUUCUAUACCCCUUAGAGUCCUCUUUUAUCUCUUUUAGUAGUACACCAUAUUUACUACUUAAUAAUUAUUUAUAUUAAACUUUUCUGUUGAUAUAACCGGCAUGUUUUUAGUCUCCUUAUUCAUCCCUGGUUGAUAUAAUGAGGCAGAGAGGUGACUUGGGAAUGACUCCACAAAAAAGCACAAACCAGCUGGGUGUGGUGGCUCAUGCCUAUAAUCCCAGCCCUUUGGAGGCUGAGGUGGGAGGAUCACUUCAGAUCAGGAGUUCAAGACAAGCCUGGGACCUUGUCUCUGCCAAAAAUAAAAAACAAAAAUAGCCAGGUGUGGUGGUGCACACCUGUGGUCCUAGCUACUCAGGAGGCUGAGGUGGGAGGAUCUCUUGGGCCCAGGAAUUUGAGGCUGCAGUGAACUGUGAUCGUCCCACUGCACUCUAGCCUGGGUGACAGAGUGAGACCCUGUCUUAAAAAAGAAAAGCACAAACCAUAAUAUAAAAGAACUGAAUAAUUUGACUUUAUGAAAAUUAAAGACUUCUGUUCUUUAAGUGAUACUUUUCAGAAAAUGAUAAGGCAAGUCAGUCCAGUAGAAAAUAUUUGCAAUACAUAUAUCUGACAAAGGCUUGUGUACAGAAUACACAAAGUAUCUCAAAAAUAAGAAGACUGUUAAUUUGCUAGGGCUGUCAUAACAAAAUACCACAGACUGGGUGGCUUCAAUAACCCAGAUUUAUUUUCUUAUAGUUCUGGAGGUUAGAAGUUCCAGAUCAAGGUAUCGGCAGAUUUGGUUUCUUCUGAGGCCUCUCUCCUUGGCUUGCAGAUAGACUUCUAUCGGCUAGAAGACUUGUCUUCUCACGGUGGUGUCCUCACAUGGUCUUUCCUCUGUGCAUGCACAUGUCUGUGUGCUAAUCUCCUUAUAAAGACCAAUGAGAAACUUGCAGUUUGCAUGGUCCGAGUGUUCUCCCUAUUGCCAUAGUCCCUCUCCUCCUAUUGUAAUAAUCAUUUUGAAUCAAGUCUCUCCUUACCCAAAUCCACAUUUGUUUUUAUUUGCCAUUUCCGUCCUGCUUACCAUGUGUUUAGCUGUGGCAGCCUAGUGGGAAUUGAGCAAAUACAUAGCCAACUACAACCUAGGAAGGUAUGUAUUGUGCAGGGCCUGUUACAUCAUUUUCAUGUAAGAUGAAAAUGCUGAAUGCCUUAUUCAAAAGACAAAGGCAAAAGUGCCCCUGAAGUACUAAAAUAUGUUUUUGCUUUUCUUCUAUAGUCUCUCUCAACUUGUUACGGUGUCUCUUUUAAUUUAGUGUAAUUGUAAAUAAAUAAAAAUUAAAUUUUUUAUUAGCAUGAAUUUACUAUUCAUCAUUAUAUUGUGCAAUGUCAGUUAAAUAUAUGUAUGGCCAAGUGUGGUGGCUCAUGCCUGUAAUCUGUGCACUUUGGGAGGCUGAAGUGGGAGGAUUGCUUGAGCCCGGGAGUUCAAGACCAGCGGGGGCAACAGAAUGAGAGCCCCCUCUCUACAAAAAAAAAAAAAAAAAAAAAAAAAAAGCUAGCUGGGUCUCUACAAAAACAAAACAAAACAAAACAAAACAAAGCUAGCAUGUGGCACAUGCCUGUGGUUCCAGCUACUUGGGAGGCUGAGGUGGGAAGACCCUUUGAGCACAGGUAGUUGAAGCUAUAGUGAGCCAUGAUCACAUCACUGCACUCCAGCAUGGGCAGCAGAGCAAGACCCUGUCUCUAAAAAUUAAAUAAAUAAAUAAACAAACAAAUAAAUGCAAAUAUAAGAGCACUUAACUCAUAUGUGGAAUUACCAAAAUUACACAAUUCAUACCUCGUUCAUACAUGCAUAUGCAUUUUGUUCCCAAAAGAAGAGAGGAAAUGCUGCACAAAAUUAACUCUUUUUUUCACUUCUUGAUAGGUGCACAUUUUAUGAAUACUCUACUUUUAACUUACUGAAAAAGAAGGAAGGGUUGAAAGAAAAAGAACUAUGAGUUCUUCCAUAUUUCCCUCUCCUUCUAUGUCAUUUUUAGCAUAGGUGGUUGGCCAAUACUGGGAAGUAACAUGAAUAAGAAAGGAUAUGGUAAGCUUCCUUGAUUGUUCGUGUUUCUUACAAUGCCAUUGCCUUCCUUUUUCAUUCAAAGCAAAUUCUUGUUUGAAUGAAAAAUGUGGCUUUUGGGGCUGUCUGCCAACUCCACAGUCAUAGACCUAACAUGCUUAUGUUACACUCCCUUAGAGUUUCUCAGAAACUCCAUCUCCUCCACCAUCACCACCAUCCUCCUACAAGCUGCCAUCCUCUAUCACUUGGACUACAGAAAUAAUUUACUGAGUAGUCUAUCUGCAUCCUGUAAUCCAUUCUACACAAUGCAACCAGAGGGAUCUUCUCAGUGCCAAAUCUGAUCAUGUUAUCCUCAGCAAAAAAAAACCCUUUAAAGCUUUGAGAUCAAAGACAAAACUCCUAUAGACACCUGUACAUUUUUCUCCUACAUUUUCCCCCCUAGUUUCAGUUUGCAGCAGCCUCCAUAUCAGUGCUCUCCAUUCCUGAGUACUGGCCUCUCAGCACUUUGAUUAGCCCAUUUAUUUAGACUCUUUUCUAGAGAACCCUUCCCCACCUCCAUCCAGAGCCUUGUGGAGGAAAAGUUAAAUACUAAAUUUGAACUCAAUUGAACAUAGACACAAACAAUGGUCACCAAGUCCUGGAACAGGUUGUGUGAGCCCCUUGAGGCAUUCGUCCAGCACUGUUUUGGAGAAAUCUCUAUUUCAAUCUAUUCCUAUAUGUUAGUUGUUGAAAAACAACAGACAAUCGCAAAAACAAGUUGACCUUUUUGUGUUCCUUGAGUCCAGUCGUGAAGGGGCCUCGUGACUGGGCCUCAUGCCAAACAACUCAUUACAAAAGGAGCUAUGGUCCCAGACCACAACGAAGCUUCAUGAGACCUCUCCUCAUCUGUGCACGGACAAGUGUCUGACUCUGGAGCCCAGGCUGUUGCUUUCCAGUCUGGUGGUGAAUCCUUCACAGUCUGGUGAGUGUAAAUAUAUAUAUAUCUUUUCCUUUCUCCUCUCCCCAUUGCAAUUUGCUUAUUACAUCCAUUUGCUUAUUACAUCAUUUGCUUAUUAUAUCUGCAUUGCCAUUUACGUGGAAUAAAGGUUGUUUACCCUUAAAGGGAUUGUGUGUGUGUCUUUUCUUCAUUGCUCGUGUGUUUCCGGCACAGAACACCCCUUCUUCACAUAAUGAAAUUCCACUUAUCCUGUAGAUGAAAGUUCAAAAAUCCCUUCCUCAAGAAAGCCAUCCCUUACCUUGCUGACAAGGCCAACUAUUCUAAUUAUUUCUCAUAGAACCAUCUACCUCUCCUUGUAGCACUCAUCACAGUUGCACUUGUAUAUUUAUUUUUGUUGUUAUUUGAUUAUUAUCCAUCUUUUCUAAUGUGUACAUAGAAGAAAGAGAAGAAACCCCCUUCCUACAUAUAUAUUUUUUGUUUUCUUAACACUUGUUGUAGAUGGUGAUUGAUCAUUUAUACAGGAGAUUGCCUAAAUAAUGUAUCUUUCGGAACAGACCAUUUUUUAUUUGUUCAUUAUUAUUCUGCACCACCUUCCAUACCUAGAACUUUUCCUGAUACCUACUAGGAGCUUAACAAUUAAUCAUUGAAUGAAAUGAUAGCCAAGUUGAUUAGACUUUUCCUUCUCAAUUCUAAAGAAUUGCUGAUUUCAAUGAGUGCCUAAGUAGCACUGGAAAUAACAUGUCAGGAUGUCUGAACACUUCCUUUCUCCUUUGUCUUCUAGCUUUAUCUUAGUCUCUUUCAAAAUCUCAGUUGCAGGAUGGGUAUGCUUCUAGCACUUUGAGAUGGAGAGUUUCACGGAUUCCCAUGAUCUUGCUUUAGUGUGCUUAUCUGCUUAUCUCUCUUCAUGUCCACUCACCUAUGGGCCCUUUCCUUUUCUGUCUGUCACUUAUAUAGCUCAUGUUCAAAUCCCCUCUUCUCCUCUUCUUAGGCCAGUCUCAUAAUGUUUCCGACAUCUGGUAUGGUUUAAAGGAACUCUUGCCUGGAAAUAGAAGUUCUUUCCAGACCAUGAUAUAAAUUUCUAGUAAAAGCAAAUGAAUGAAUAUAUAGCAAGAAACAACAAUUCACAAGGAAGUUGCCCUGGAAGUGGGCUGUUGUAGUAAAAGGAGGCAUUUGCCUGUUACUGAGUCCCAAUAGCCUGAUCACUCUUGCCCAAUCAGGAACUUUCUGUCACAUUGUGCUGUUUGCCAUUGCAGUGCUCAGCAGACUGAGGAUUACAGUAUGUGCAUUGGCACUUGUUAUACAGCAAGUGCAAACAGCUGGGUUUCUUGCUGUUCAUGAGUGCCAAGAUAUUAUUCCUCAUAAGACUUUUUAACUGCUUUUGCAGUUAGUAACAUCAGUGCCUGGGAAAUCAAACAUUUUAUCUAGUGGUUUGUUAACUUAAUGCUAUUUUCCAGAUGUUUUUUAGGGCUGUUCCUCCAAUGUUGAUUUGUGGUGGCGUUGAUAUUUUCUUUCUAUAGCAUUUUAUUAUUUUUGAGCAGUGAUAUUUAAUUUAGUUUGGGGAAAUGUCUUUUCCAAACUUUUGUUUCUGAUGACACACAGUUAUUUUGAAUCUUGUGUCAAUCCCACAAACUACAGGACUUGGCCUGAUUAUAGACAUGACUAGACAAAAGAAGCUCUAGAAGAGCUGCCACACCAGACUUUCACUUUUAUUGAGGUUACCACUCACACUGAUAGAUUACAGGCCCAUGGCAUUUUAGAGUCAGAGACAUUCUUUACUCAGAUCCCCUCUUUAUUCACAACAAAAUAACUGGAACUUAUAGAUGUCAAAUAAUUUUACCUUAGCCCACACAGCUAGCUGUUAGUAAAAUCAGAACUAUGACCAGAUCUCCUAGGUACAGGGGAGAGGAAACCUUUUUUCCAUGCUUCUCACCUGGAGGCGUAUGUGUGAAUCCCCUUACCCCCUUUAGUGGCCUGAGGAUUCAUUCAUUGGCAAAGAAGUCUCCUGACAGCAUUUUGAAGAGGCAGAACAAACUCCUGCUGCCAGUCUACAGGAGCCAUCACUCUUUCCCAGUGAGCAGCUGGCAUGUGGCCAGCCUUCCCUUUCUGCAGCUUGGACUGCUAAAGUAUCACGUGGAUGGAGCAGCUCUGUGCAAAGCCACUUUUCCAGAACUGUUUCCAUGUCUCCACUCCCCAAUCCAUCCUUCUCCCCACAAGCUCUCUCCUACCACACAAACACACCAAGGGCCUCUUAAAGCUUUCUCCAUCCAUAGUGAGAGAGAGAGGGGGGAAAGAAUCAAGUUUGGUAUGCUGGAACAUACAUGUGAGGCAGAAAAGUUCUGAAAGUUGAGAGCAGCUUAUAAAUAACUCAGGUUAGAUGUUGCCGAUGAUGGGAAGUAUAUAUAGGAAACACCAUCAUUUAAAAAAUGUAUUCUUUGAAAAUGAAGAAUGACAGCAUACAGACCAAACUCCCAAAAGCUUAACAGAAAUUCUCAUAAAACUGUAGGUAGACUUACAUUAUAUUACACAAAUUUUAAACUCUGGAUCUGGGCCGAAAACAUCACCUGCUUUAGGUCUUCAAAUAGACACUUAAGAGCUAUGGAAUAGUACAAUUGACCGGGAAAACACUUUAAGAUUUGGUUGUAAUCUACAGACUGUCAGCUUAGGGGUAACUGGUAAAGUAAUUUGUGCUCUCCUUUUGUCCAUUUUAAUUGAUGAUAUUCCUCUGCAGCAAGCCUUACAGGAGAAAUCGAAACACAGCUGCUACAUUGUAAGUCCACAAGUGAAAUAAGCAGUGUCCAGUGGAUAACAAGAAGGCUCCCAGAAUAGCUCCUCAAAAAAUCUGCCUUCUUCCUUUACUACCAAGAAUCCUAACCUGUAGGCUCAAAGAUGAUUCAAACAUUGAGGGCAGUGGUACUUGGGAUUCAAAGGCACAUUGGUGCAGAAAGGAGCCCAUAGCAUGCUGUUGACAAUUUGACCAGGUGAGUCAACAAUAGCAAAGAAGGCCUAGAAUAUGAGCUUUGAAAUCCGAGUGCAAAGUCACCCCUACGAGAAUAUACCUGAUUUAUUUUGUUUGAUUAUAUUGACACUUUUGCUAUUUGUCAUCAUUUCAGCAUGCAUGCACUUAGAUUUGUUAGUCCCACUGUCCUGUAACAUCUCCCAAUCCAGAACACAUUAAUGAUCAGUAGACUGUGGCUGUCCAGUUUGGUGUCACCUUUAAGGGGCUCCUCUCUCCACGUAGGCCAGGCAAGACUUCACUGCACAUUUACAGAACAAGGACCUUCUGUCUCAGAUGCCUGACUCACCAGCUCCACUGCCCUGCAUUCCGUUCUCUCACUCUCUUGGCUUCCAGUGUUGUUGCCAGUGGUUUGGGUCCUCACCCUACUCUUUCACCUCAAUGCUUAAUAUAGCCAUGUUUGGCUUUUGAAUUUGCUUUUCCUCUCAUCUACAUUUUCAUCUCUCCACCGUGGCUUGAAGUAAUCACAAUUUUGGGAUAACAAAGCCAUUCUAUGCUUGGCUUUGGUCAGUCCCUAGAAUUUACCAAGUCACAGCCAGGUGAGGUGGCUCACGCCUAUAAUCCCAGCACUUUGGGAGGCCAAGGCGGGCGGAUCAUAAGGUCAGGAGUUCAAGACCAGCCUGGCCAACAUGUGAAACCCCGUCUCUACUAAAAAUACAAAAAUUAGCUGGGCGUGCCGCCUGUAAUCCUAGCUACUCGGGAGCCUGAGGGAGGAGAAUUGCUUGAACCCAGGAUGCGGAGUUUGCAGCGAGCUGAGAUCGCGCCACUGCACUCCAGCCUGAGCAACAGAGUGAGACUCCGUCCCAGAAAAAAAAAAAAAGGAUUUACCGAGUCACUUCCUGCCCUUUGUUAUGGACUCACCACCAAUCUGUCCCAGCAAGGCCCAAAUACUGUUUAAGGAGUGAUGGUAGUGAGUAGCCUUUUAAAAAGUUUAUUCAGGGAGGUUGAAAUAAAGAGGUUGGACAUGUAAAUGGGGAAUGAAACAAUGGGUAAACUCACCUGUUCAGAUUAUUCAG
This 20801-nucleotide long non-coding RNA is filed under the name Homo sapiens (human). RNAcentral's name for it is "non-protein coding SEC24B-AS1:10". The stretch from base 14118 to 14265 matches the Rfam family "Metazoan signal recognition particle RNA". The record is from RNAcentral. Lineage: Eukaryota; Metazoa; Chordata; Mammalia; Primates; Hominidae.